GAUGAACGCUAGCUACAGGCUUAACACAUGCAAGUCGAGGGGAAACGAUAUUGGAAGCUUGCUUCCGAUAGGCGUCGACCGGCGCACGGGUGAGUAACGCGUAUCCAACCUGCCCAUCACUUGGGGAUAACCUUGCGAAAGUAAGACUAAUACCCAAUGAUAUCCAUAGAAGACAUCUGAAAUGGAUUAAAGAUUUAUCGGUGAUGGAUGGGGAUGCGUCUGAUUGGCUUGUUGGCGGGGUAACGGGCCACCAAGGCGACGAUCAGUAGGGGUUCUGAGAGGAAGGUCCCCCACAUUGGAACUGAGACACGGGCCAACCUCCUACGCGAGGCAGCAGUGAGGAAUAUUGGUCAAUGGGCGAGAGCCUGAACCAGCCAAGUAGCGUGCAGGAUGACGGCCCUAUGGGUUGUAAACUGCUUUUAUAAGGGAAUAAAGUGGGAGUCGUGACUCCUUUUGCAUGUACCUUAUGAAUAAGGACCGGCUAAUUCCGUGCCAGCCGCCGCGGUAA
RNAcentral lists this ribosomal RNA (508 nucleotides) under uncultured bacterium. RNAcentral describes it as "partial 16S ribosomal RNA". It matches the Rfam family "Bacterial small subunit ribosomal RNA", at positions 28 to 523 of the family's 1533-position model. The record is from RNAcentral.